AGUGAACGCUGGCGGUAGGCCUAACACAUGCAAGUCGAACGGCAGCACAGUAAGAGCUUGCUCUUACGGGUGGCGAGUGGCGGACGGGUGAGGAAUACAUCGGAAUCUACUUUUUCGUGGGGGAUAACGUAGGGAAACUUACGCUAAUACCGCAUACGACCUACGGGUGAAAGCAGGGGAUCUUCGGACCUUGCGCGAUUGAAUGAGCCGAUGUCGGAUUAGCUAGUUGGCGGGGUAAAGGCCCACCAAGGCGACGAUCCGUAGCUGGUCUGAGAGGAUGAUCAGCCACACUGGAACUGAGACACGGUCCAGACUCCUACGGGAGGCAGCAGUUGGGAAUAUUGGACAAUGGGCGCAAGCCUGAUCCAGCCAUACCGCGUGGGUGAAGAAGGCCUUCGGGUUGUAAAGCCCCUUUGUUGGGAAAGAAAAGCAGCAGGUUAAUACCCCGCUGUUCUGACGGUACCCAAAGAAUAAGCACCGGCUAACUUCGUG
RNAcentral lists this ribosomal RNA (492 nucleotides) under uncultured bacterium. RNAcentral's name for it is "partial 16S ribosomal RNA". It matches the Rfam family "Bacterial small subunit ribosomal RNA", at positions 29 to 507 of the family's 1533-position model. The record is from RNAcentral.